UAUAAAGUGGCGAACGGCUGAGUAACACGUGGGCAACCUGCCCUUUGCACUGGGAUAGCCUCGGGAAACCGAGGUUAAUACCGGAUACUCCAUAUUUGUCGCAUGGCGAAUAUGGGAAAGCUCCGGCGGCAAAGGAUGGGCCCGCGGCCUGUUAGCUAGUUGGUGGGGUAGUGGCCUACCAAGGCAAUGAUGGGUAGCCGGGUUGAGAGACCGACCGGCCAGAUUGGGACUGAGACACGGCCCAGACUCCUACGGGAGGCAGCAGGA
Molecule: ribosomal RNA, 267 nt
Filed under: uncultured Atopobium sp.
Lineage: Bacteria; Bacillati; Actinomycetota; Coriobacteriia; Coriobacteriales; Atopobiaceae
Description: partial 16S ribosomal RNA
Rfam family: Bacterial small subunit ribosomal RNA
Source: RNAcentral